Molecule: transfer RNA, 85 nt
Filed under: Felis catus (domestic cat)
Lineage: Eukaryota; Metazoa; Chordata; Mammalia; Carnivora; Felidae
Also listed under: 2 other names
Rfam family: tRNA
About the family: Transfer RNA (tRNA) molecules are approximately 80 nucleotides in length. Their secondary structure includes four short double-helical elements and three loops (D, anti-codon, and T loops).
Source: Rfam by way of RNAcentral
GCCUGGAUGGCUCAGUUGGUUAAGCAUCUGACUUCGGCUCAGGUCAUGAUCUCACAGUUUGUGGGUUCGAGCCCCGCAUCGGGUU